AACGAACGCUGGCGGCAGGCCUAACACAUGCAAGUCGAGCGAGGACUUCGGUCCUAGCGGCGGACGGGUGAGUAACGCGUGGGAACGUGCCCUUUGCUUCGGAAUAGCCCUGGGAAACUGGGAUAAUUACCGGAUGGGCCCUUUGGGGGAAAGAUUUAUCGGCGAAGGAUCGGCCCGCGUUGGAUUAGGUAGUUGGUGGGGUAAUGGCCUACCAAGCCGACGAUCCAUAGCUGGUUUGAGAGGAUGAUCAGCCACACUGGGACUGAGACACGGCCCAGACUCCUACGGGAGGCAGCAGUGGGGAAUCUUAGACAAUGGGGGAAACCCUGAUCUAGCCAUGCCGCGUGAGCGAUGAAGGCCUUAGGGUUGUAAAGCUCUUUCAGCUGGGAAGAUAAUGACGGUACCAGCAGAAGAAGCCCCGGCUAACUCCGUG
Molecule: ribosomal RNA, 433 nt
Filed under: uncultured bacterium
Lineage: Bacteria
Description: partial 16S ribosomal RNA
Rfam family: Bacterial small subunit ribosomal RNA
Source: RNAcentral